AAAAUUUCCUGGGAAGGGGAUACCGGAUCACGAAAGCGGUUUUUUCCCGGGGGAGGCCCCCACCAUUUCACCCGGGGGUGCUUUACCCCGGAUUAACCCAAAAAGUGGUUAAACCCUGCGAAAUUUUUUGUUAGCGGGGGCUGCGUUCGCGCUAUCCCCCC
Molecule: small nuclear RNA, 161 nt
Organism: Cherax quadricarinatus
Lineage: Eukaryota; Metazoa; Arthropoda; Malacostraca; Decapoda; Parastacidae
Product: U1 spliceosomal RNA
Source: RefSeq, a predicted model, not a curated record